UAGGCAAGUUAGCCCCGUAACUUCGGGAAAAGGGGCGCCUUAUUAGGGGGAAGCCGUACAGGCGGAGCCCGAGGAGGCCGCAGAGAAAUGGCUCUAGCGACUGUUUAAUAAAAACACAGGACUCUGCAAAGACAUAAAAUCGAUGUAUAGGGUCUGACGCCUGCCCGGUGCUGGAAGGUUAAGGGAAGGGGUUAGCCGUAAGGCGAAGCUCUGAACCGAAGCCCCAGUAAACGGCGGCCGUAACAAUAACGGUCCUAAGGUAGCGAAAUUCCUUGUCGGGUAAGUUCCGACCCGCACGAAAGGCGUAACGACUUGAGCGCUGUCUCAAAGAGGGGCUCGGCGAAAUUGUGGUACCGGUGAAGACGCCGGUUACCUGCCGCUGGACGGAAAGACCCCGGCACCUUAACUGCAUCCUAGCAUUGGAUUUCGGUCCAUGAUGCGCAGGAUAGGUGGGAGGCUAUGAAGCAUCGGCUCCGGCCGGUGUGGAGCCAACGGUGAGAUACCACUCUUCCUGGUCUGAGAUUCUAACCUCCGCCCCUGAUCGGGGCGAGGAACAGUGUUAGGUGGGUAGUUUGACUGGGGCGGUCGCCUCCUAAAAUGUAACGGAGGCGCCCAAAGGUUCCCUCAGGUUGUUUGGAAAUCAACCGCAGAGUGCAAAGGCAUAAGGGAGCUUGACUGUGAGGCCGACGUGCCGAACAGGUGGGAAACCAGGGCUUAGUGAUCCGGUGAUCCUGUAUGGGAGGGUCAUCGCUCAACGGAUAAAAGGUACGCCGGGGAUAACAGGCUAAUAGUGUCCAAGAGCUCACAUCGACGACACUGUUUGGCACCUCGAUGUCGGCUCAUCUCAUCCUGGGGCUGAAGCAGGUCCCAAGGGUCCGGCUGUUCGCCGGUUAAAGAGGUACGUGAGCUGGGUUUAGAACGUCGCGAGACAGUUCGGUCCCUAUCCACGGUAGGCGUAGGAGAUUUGAGGGGGGCUGCCCAUAGUACGAAAGGACCUGGGUGGACGAACCUCUAGUGUACCAGUUGUCCCGCCAGGGGCAGCGCUGGGUAGCUACGUUCGGUUGUGAUAACCGCUGAAAGCAUAUAAGCGGGAAGCACGCCCCAAGAUAAGAUCUCCCUCCCGCAAGGGCUGAAGGUCCCUGGUAGACGACCAGGUUGAUAGGCAGGAGGUGUAAGCGCAGAGAUGCGUUCAGCUGACCAGUACUAAUAGACCGUGAGGCUUGACCAU
This 1228-nucleotide ribosomal RNA is filed under the name metagenome. Its description in RNAcentral is "bacterial LSU rRNA". It matches the Rfam family "Bacterial large subunit ribosomal RNA", at positions 1714 to 2925 of the family's 2925-position model. The record is from RNAcentral.